CCAACGGGUGGCUGCAGUGGGGAAUAUUGGACAAUGGGGGGAACCCUGAUCCAGCCAUGCCGCGUGUGUGAAGAAGGCCCUCGGGUUGUAAAGCACUUUCAGUGAGGAAGAACGCCUGGUGGUUAAUACCCAUCAGGAAAGACAUCACUCACAGAAGAAGCACCGGCUAACUCCGUGCCAGCAGCCGCGGUAAUACGGAGGGUGCGAGCGUUAAUCGGAAUUACUGGGCGUAAAGCGCGCGUAGGUGGCUUGAUAAGCCGGUUGUGAAAGCCCCGGGCUCAACCUGGGAACGGCAUCCGGAACUGUCAAGCUAGAGUGCAGGAGAGGAAGGUAGAAUUCCCGGUGUAGCGGUGAAAUGCGUAGAGAUCGGGAGGAAUACCAGUGGCGAAGGCGGCCUUCUGGACUGACACUGACACUGAGGUGCGAAAGCGUGGGUAGCAAACAGGAUUAGAUACCCUAGUAGUC
RNAcentral lists this ribosomal RNA (465 nucleotides) under Vreelandella stevensii. Its description in RNAcentral is "partial 16S ribosomal RNA". It matches the Rfam family "Bacterial small subunit ribosomal RNA", at positions 338 to 795 of the family's 1533-position model. The record is from RNAcentral. Lineage: Bacteria; Pseudomonadati; Pseudomonadota; Gammaproteobacteria; Oceanospirillales; Halomonadaceae.